This 756-nucleotide ribosomal RNA is filed under the name Yamadazyma sp. RNAcentral describes it as "eukaryotic LSU rRNA". The stretch from base 160 to 756 matches the Rfam family "Eukaryotic large subunit ribosomal RNA", at positions 1 to 636 of the family's 3401-position model. Lineage: Eukaryota; Fungi; Ascomycota; Pichiomycetes; Serinales; Debaryomycetaceae. The record is from RNAcentral.
UACUCUUAGUUAGACUAGCGUUUUGCUGAAAAGUAACGGCAGGAGUGUACUGGAUAGUACGAACUGGUUAUUCAAUGUAUUAGGUUUAUCCAACUCGUUGAAACGCUGGGGAGUGAGUUUCCGGUAAAUGGCUCGGCCUUAUAACAACAAACACAAGUUUGACCUCAAAUCAGGUAGGAUUACCCGCUGAACUUAAGCAUAUCAAUAAGCGGAGGAAAAGAAACCAACAGGGAUUGCCUUAGUAGCGGCGAGUGAAGCGGCAAUAGCUCAAAUUUGAAAUCUGGCGUCUUCGGCGUCCGAGUUGUAAUUUGAAGAAGGUAUCUUUGGUUUUGGCUCUUGUCUAUGUUCCUUGGAACAGGACGUCACAGAGGGUGAGAAUCCCGUGCGAUGAGAUGCCCAAUUCCAUGUAAAGUUCCUUCGACGAGUCGAGUUGUUUGGGAAUGCAGCUCUAAGUGGGUGGUAAAUUCCAUCUAAAGCUAAAUAUUGGCGAGAGACCGAUAGCGAACAAGUACUGUGAAGGAAAGAUGAAAAGAACUUUGAAAAGAGAGUGAAAAAGUACGUGAAAUUGUUGAAAGGGAAGGGCUUGAGAUCAGACUUGGAAUUUUCCAGCAAUGGAGCUUUCCGGGCCAGCAUCAGUUUGGAUGGCAGGAUAAUUGCGUAGGAAAGUGGCUCCACUACGGUGGAGUGUUAUAGCCUGCGUCGAUACUGCCUGUCUAGACUGAGGACUGCGUCUUUGACUAGGAUGCUGGCAUAAUG